Molecule: non-coding RNA, 30 nt
Filed under: Mus musculus (house mouse)
Lineage: Eukaryota; Metazoa; Chordata; Mammalia; Rodentia; Muridae
Source: RNAcentral
UCAGCCUGUGAUUAACCUUCAGAGUGUCCU